This 71-nucleotide transfer RNA is filed under the name Marmota monax (woodchuck). RNAcentral's name for it is "tRNA.Val". It matches the Rfam family "tRNA". From Rfam's summary of the family: Transfer RNA (tRNA) molecules are approximately 80 nucleotides in length. Their secondary structure includes four short double-helical elements and three loops (D, anti-codon, and T loops). Lineage: Eukaryota; Metazoa; Chordata; Mammalia; Rodentia; Sciuridae. The record is from RNAcentral.
GGGAUGUGGCUCAGUGAGAGAGUGCUUGCCUAACAUGCAUGAAGCCCUGGGUUCCAUCCCCAGUACCACCA